This is a long non-coding RNA of Leopardus geoffroyi (Geoffroy's cat), 648 nucleotides long. RefSeq lists it as uncharacterized. NCBI's taxonomy places the organism in Eukaryota, Metazoa, Chordata, Mammalia, Carnivora, Felidae. The record is from RefSeq and is a predicted model, not a curated record. The transcript is spliced from 3 exons.
GUUUUUAAAACACAUACAAAAAUUCAGAGAGAUGGUACAAAAAUAAAACAUAAGUAGGCCUGUCCAAAGAGAGUGACCAUACAGUCCUAGAAUAGGAAUUGGGGAGCCUUUGGAUCCCUAUGUGUCUAGUUGAUUGGUUUUCCUCAUCUAAGUUUAUCCAUUUAUUGAGUUACAAUGACCUUCAGCCUAAGUCAAGUGAAAAAUGUCCCACUCAGGCUUUGUGAUUUGAAAUGCUAUUUUGAAAAAGUUUAACACAGAUUCUUGGUAAAAAUACAAGGUUGAUACUCUGGUUUCAGAUUACAUAAAUCUUUUGCCUUUUCCUAAAGAUUUCCAUGGAGAAGUACAGAAAUGAGUUUUUACCCAAUUUUUGAGGCCUUGUUUUUAUGAUGCUACCUUAAAAAAAAUACAAGGUUGAAUGUCACCGAAGGGACAUGGUUUGAUUUCAUUCUUCAUGUAUAAAAUCGGAAGUGAACCCACUUACAGGUGGAUUAAAGCAUUGUGCCAUUUAGUGCAACAGAGAACUCUGGGAUAGCUUUUAAUAAGACAUUUGUAGGACUUUAUUGAAAAAUAUGCUUUUAAUUUUUUUUGCCACUUGUUCCAUUUUUUAAGAUUUAUUAAUACUAAUAAACCAGACAUUUUAUGCCUCAA